UACGGAGGGGGCGAGCGUUAUUCGGAAUUAUUGGGCGUAAAGGGCGCGUAGGCGGCUGUACGAGUCAAAGGUGAAAUCCCUCGGCUCAACUGAGGAACUGCCUUUGAAACUGUACGGCUUGAGGCCGGGAGGGGGUAGCGGAAUUCCCAGUGUAGCGGUGAAAUGCGUAGAUACUGGGAGGAACACCAGUGGCGAAGGCGGCUACCUGGACCGGUUCUGACGCUGAGGCGCGAAAGCGUGGGUAGCAAACAGG
This 253-nucleotide ribosomal RNA is filed under the name uncultured bacterium. RNAcentral's name for it is "partial 16S ribosomal RNA". It matches the Rfam family "Bacterial small subunit ribosomal RNA", at positions 524 to 776 of the family's 1533-position model. The record is from RNAcentral.